GGGGUGUCCCGCUCGCUGAGCCCUCCCCGCCGAUGCCACACGGAGCAGAGCUGGCUGUCCCUGAUGAACCCUGUCCCACCCUCAGAGCCACGAUCAAGACAAACAUCACUGUUUAAAGACACUGGGUCUGCUACGCAGCCACAGGCCACCGCGAGGACCGGAGCGGGGCCUCACCCGUUGCCAUCGCCCCCCAGAUGCUCACUGCUGAGGGACGGGGACUUCUCAAAGGCCCCCGCCUCACCUGCGAGCUGACGGCUCCAUCACCGUUAAAGGGCUGAAUGGUGUCCCCACCAAGCUCUCACCGCGUCCCCCCAAAUUCCCAUCCACAGCCUGUCGAAAUCCUAACCCCCAUCCCGCAGACCAUGACUGUGUUUGGAGAUGGGGUUUGUAAAGAGGCGAUGAAGGGAAAACGAGGUCCCUGGGCGGCCUCCUCCAGAAGGCUGGCGUCCCUGUAGGGAGAGGAGACGGGGACCCAGCCCCACAGAGGGAAGACCGCGUGAUGGCAGAGGAAGGAGACGGCCGCCGCCAGCCACGGCGGGGGCCCCAGAAGCCAGCCACGCUGUGGAUGCCUCGAUCUUGGACUCCCAGCCCCGUGAACUGGAGGAAAGACAUUUCUGUCAUUGGAGCUGCCCCGUCUGCGGGACUUUGUUGGGCGGCCCCCGUGGGCCCAUAGAAGGUUGAGCCCACUUUCCAGAUGGGAAGACGGAGCUCUAAGAGUCACGGCUCCCCAGGCCGCACGGACUGCGCUGGGAUCCUCCCGCCCCUCGGGCGGUGACCCACGUGCUGGGCCCGGAUGUGGCCACAGGACACCAGCCUUGACCACGCAGGACCCCCCAGGCGGCACCCGGAGCAGAUGUCACCAAUCCGUGCGGGGUCUCCACCCAGCCCAGACCUGGCCGGGGUCUCUGCCCCAGCCGGCUGGUCCCACGGGGGCUGCAGGGGCCACAGGAAGACAUUUCUGGGCGCAGCUCAGAGGGGCCGGCCCAGGGCUGCCUCUGGGGGGAUUUCCGGCUCCGUGGGGUGAUUACGCGGCAACAGUCCCCCGGAGGCCCCCAGAGUUGACUCAGCGCCAGUGUCCCAUGGGGUCUGUGAGACAGGCCGGGGCUCCGCACAGAGGCUUGUGCAGGGGACAGAGCUGGGUCCACAAAUGGGAAAAUUGCUGAUAUGUGUUAUUCCCCAAAGGAAUCCUCGUCCCCCGCACAGCGCCCGGCCGCAGGGCCCGGAGAGUUUAGAAAGACCCGCAGCUCGCCCGUGGGAAUCACCCAGGAGAUUAAAUUUACCACCUGCCCAGCCUCUCCUCCAGAGCCUGACGCAACGGCCCCAGGGGGGCCCAGGUGUGGGCUUUUCUUUAACACUCCCUGGAGAUUUUCUCAGAGGCUGAGAGCCCCUGAUAUCAACAUGAGGAAACUGAGGACCAGAGAGGGGCAGCCGCCUUGCCAAAGUCACACAGCUGGUCCAAGAAGGAAGCAAAAAAAACAAGCCUUUUAUCGAUCACCUACUAUGUGCUGCUUUGGCACCUAUCGCACCUGGUUCCCACACCCACCCAGUGACGUGAGAAAUAUUCUCCCCGAUUUCCAGAGGAGGACACUGAGUCACAGAGUGUCAGCUGAAAUACAGGCGGUGCUGACGAGAAGCACAGCGUAGAUCGGGUUGACGGAGCACAACACACGUGGAUGACGCCCGCGCAUCAGGCCAGUCCCACAGCAAGCCCACGCUCUGGACACGAGGAUCAACCCAUUUCAAAGAGACGGAAACUGAGGCUCAGAGAGAAGAAGCCGUUUGCAGACGUCACACAGCCAGGGAGCAUCUGCUGCCAGGACGCGUCCCGCCCAGAGAGGACCAGACUGGGCUCCCAGCGAUCCGGGAGCACCCAGCCCCCUCCCCAAACCCACGACCGGCUGGACUGGGCUGCCGUCAGGGGUCCCGGCGCCGGCUGGAAUUUGGGGGUGUCCCUGCCACUCUCCACACGGCCCAAUAGCUCCUGGACCAGAUGCAAACACAGGGACGCUGCUGCGUGUCCCGGAGGGGCCCCCAGGGCGCCCUGAAGGAGGAGGAUGCAGGGGAGACGCGGGGAGGGGGCUGGGCUGAGGGACUUCUGAGAAAAGGCAGAGAAAUAAAAAGGAGGGGGGCCAGAGACAGCGCGGAGGGAGGACGCGAGAGGCAGAAAGUCAGGGCGACAAAUGACCCAAACGGACAAGACAGAGGGAGCAGCAGAGCCGGGGAGAUGGGGCGAGGAGAGACGCCUCCAAGACAGACAGACAGACAGACAGACAGACGGGGACAAGGAGAGAAGGAAACCUCAGAGACAGACAGAGACCAGGGGGCCGGGAGUCACGGACACAGAGAGACAGACGUGGGGGAGGCGGGACCCAGAGUGACAGCAGCCCCAGGAGGACACGCGAGCGACUUCUCCAGGGCCAGGACCAGGAGGGGCAGCGGGAAGGCCGAGAAGGACGGGCUGGAGGAGGCCGAGGAGAAAGAAGAGAGAGGAGAGGACUGAGGGGGGAGGCAGAG
This is a long non-coding RNA of Equus caballus (horse), 2514 nucleotides long. The record is from Ensembl. Lineage: Eukaryota; Metazoa; Chordata; Mammalia; Perissodactyla; Equidae.